This 3327-nucleotide long non-coding RNA is filed under the name Acanthaster planci (crown-of-thorns starfish). RNAcentral's name for it is "uncharacterized LOC110991216, transcript variant X4". Lineage: Eukaryota; Metazoa; Echinodermata; Asteroidea; Valvatida; Acanthasteridae. The record is from RNAcentral.
AGAGGGUAAUUGGCUCUAGUCGUGCUUACUCGCGCCUGAAAAGAGACUAGUACUGUGUAUUACACAAUACGCUACGCGUGUUACGAGAUCCCAACCAUGCGAGCGCGCGAAAACACGUAAUGUUAGUUCCAAGAUUUAAUACCAAUAAAUUUCUGUAUUACUAUGAUUUCUAAAAUUUGAUACUUCGGAGUUGAUACCGAUAGACCGCUGGAUUGUGACAGUGUUGGCUUGACUCCUCUUCCCUUGAUGAUGACCUGUACAUACUCGACAAGUACAUGUACGUUACCUACUUGGAAAGCUUCACUUGAACAUGCUGACAGCAAAGACGGAAUUGCAGCAUUCGUUGCAGAGAAAAUGGCUACGUCACCUACGUGGAAAGCUUCACUUGAAUGGGCUGAUAGCAAAGGUGGAAUUGCAGCAUUUGUUGCAGAGAAAAGGGCAUGACCUGUAAAUACUGGAGAAAUUCGUCACCAUUCGUGGAAAGCUUCAGUGGAUGGGUUGACAGUAAAGACAGCAGUAGCAUGCAUAACAGACAAAACUAUGACAUAUAGCUACUCGACAAGUAUGUCACCUGCGUGGAAAUUGUCCGUGAUCAACUUCAGUGGAACAGGCUGACAGGGAAGAUGGCAGGAGCAUACGUUACAGAGAAAAUGGAAUUUAGUUGCUGUGUGAAAAUCAGCCUGAUCUGCAUUCACUCCACUGUGGAGUUAGAGAGAGAUAGCAACACAGCUUUACUACUUUGAGGUCUCUAGAAGCCAUGAUGGCACAGUCUGGUUGGUAUGCUCUUCCUGAUCAGGCUUUCUCCAUCCCUAGACCAUACACCUCGGGACACUGCACAGUGCACGCCCUACAGCAUCUGUGAUGAGAGCAUCCCAAGACCUCCAUCACCUGACCCAGAGCACUGAUGAAGGUUAAUGGAUACAAGAUUACAGCCAACUCAAGACUAGAGAUCCUGGAAACACAUCCAGACCAGAUGGUCUCCUAUACCCAAGGUCAGAUUAGGACCACUUGUUCUAUCACCCUCCCUUAGGCAGUACCUCCAACAAUAUUUAGCAAGUCCAGAAGCACAAAGAUCGCGAGAUCAAUUGGUAACUAGCUGAACUCAUUUAGAGCAUCCAGCACUGGUUCCAUGAUCACUGCAUCUGUGAAGCCAUCAAGAUCUCCAAGCACUGCAGAGUACCCCAAGACAUCCAUUUUGCCAUCAGCACCUAGCCCCUCUUGGACUCUCUCCAGACAGUGUGAAGAGUCAUCUCUACUCAAGGACAAUUUCCCCACCCUGCCCAAGUUGCCCCUUUAGCUUAGAGCUUAUGGGUCACCUUUAUCCUUGACAACCUUGUCACCUGACCAGUAUCGCUGCCCUAGCUGCGACCUUCAAGCCUCCAUGCUGUAACACAUCAGGUUCCAGCAAUAGUCCUCUGAUGCUACUAUGGGCAGAUAUGCCGCCCAAAACAUUCUCUGGUUCUCUCCAGAACCUCACAUAUUCACAAAGACAUAUUUAUAUGCAGUUACUGCAAACAAUCUAAUGUUGCUUCCUUCAUUAAGUACUAGUAAGUCUUUGAUAUAAAAUCCUGUUUGCAUGGGCUACAAGCCUGGAUUUUUCAUUUGCUGUCAAUAAUUUGUUUGUACAGACAUCAUUUCCUAUAAAUCUGUUUGAUUUGCCAUAUUUGACAUCUGGUCGUGUCAAAUUUCUGUAUGCGAUUGUUUUCAUGAGCUAUCGUCAUCUAAUGUAUUGAUGAGUGGGAAGGUGCUAUUUAUUGUGCAUUGUAAAAAGUAAACUCAACUCGUUUUUUAUCUGUGUUUGGAAACCUGAUGAGACGACUUUGCAAGUGAUAAUUAUGGAGAUUACUCAUUAGCACAUCUUCAGGUUGUGUGCAACAUUGUCAGCCACUGUGAGCCAGCAGCCCUCACUUGGGCAGGCCUGUGGGCCUCCCAUUAUGGAAAGGACCAGCAUGGCACCAGUCAUGAGGAAGUCACUACACAAAUACAAGAACAACCAAGAGGAAGAGGUGGGCACUAGAGGGAAAUUGAAGGGGAACCAUAAAAAAAACUGGAUAAUGCAUUCUUUAAUUGAAUUGUAUGUUGUUUCUGAAAGCAGAGUCUGCAUUUUUGAAGUUUCCAGCAAACAAGAUGUAGGCCUACUUCUGACAAAAUGCUGGCCAUCCCUGGACAGUAUGAAGUCAGCACCACAACAGCUAUUUGGUGCAAAGCCAUUUCUGACUUGGUCCAUUACACCUUUUAGUGUUCAGUCAUCUCUGAUAUGGCAUUAUGACUGUGACAUAUCUGUGAUAUUUGUCAUUUACAAAUAAAUUUAGUCAUAUUCAAGAAACAUUAAUCUCAGUUUCCUUCAAAAAAGCUGUAUAAUUUGUAUGUUUGCACUGUUCUGAAAAGCACUGUUUAUUGCUCACAAUAAUUUUGCUAGUCUGCAGUCUUCAAGCAUGUUACGUGUCGGCUUUUGUUUAUAAAAGUACAUCUCUAAUAAUGUAGGCAGAACAAAGCAAUGGUUUACAUGUAUAUUUGUUUUACUCGUGUGCUAUCGUGUUGUAAUUACACAACUUAACAGGAGUAGACUCCACUGUACUUUUGGACAGUUUCAAUGAAGACCCAAAAUUAAUCCACGCAUCCUUUAGCUGAUCAUAAUUAUGCCUUAUAAUUUUUCUGUCAAGUUUAAUUAAGACCAGAGGAUGUUUUGAGCUGGUACAGGCAGUGCACAUUUUAAUUUGCUCUUCAUGCAACAAAAAAUACCAAGAAAAACUGAUUCCAAAAACAAUGAACUGUAUUACUGUAAUCAACUGUAAAAGCAAAACGUGUACUACAAGUGGGUGCAUUUUUUCCAGUGUGUUAGAUUUGUGUUGGUUAGUACACUCCUUCAUUACCAAUCAAACAAUGAAAUAAAACUGUUCAGAUAUGCUGACAAAAAUGUAAAGGACUUGUCCCCUGUAUUAAAUUGUGAACUGUCUUUAUUGGAAACUUUCCCGUGAUCAUUGAAUACACGAGGUUCCAGGAGGCUCUGUGCGAGCAAGCUGAAAUCAAAAGAACUGGCAAAUAAUUAUUUUAUCAUUUCUUUGUGUUAUCAAGCACAAAAUGUCAUGGCAGUUUCCCAAGAUUAGCUCACUAUUUACGUAGAAGCGUUUUACAACUGGCGGGCUAAACCCCAUCAUUUAAGUCAGAACUUUAAUCUUAUUCCCGUGUAAUAUUUUUAACUAACUUAUGCUGAGUAUGAUGAUGUAAUGUAGUGAACUUAAUAAAAAAAAUUAAUGGUUAAGACCAAUGCAUAUGUGACCAAGUACAUCGUAAUCAGGAAUAAGUCGCUGAGGCCGGUUUACGUAA